Molecule: long non-coding RNA, 861 nt
Organism: Setaria italica (foxtail millet)
Lineage: Eukaryota; Viridiplantae; Streptophyta; Magnoliopsida; Poales; Poaceae
Exons: 2
Source: RefSeq, a predicted model, not a curated record
ACCCGACGAGCAGCGCGCCGACACCGAAUGCGAAACGCCCCCGCUCCCACCACCUCCCGCCCGGCUCCGGCGGCAUCUGCCGCCGUCCUCCGCCACCGAUGCUAACCUGUCGGGGACGGACGUCCCCGCCACCUCCACCGCCCACCGGGGUUCCCCCGCUGCCGGGCUCUGCUCCGCCACCGUCUCUCCCGCCUCCACCGCUGCCGGCGAGCCGCCCCGCAUCUCCCCCUACAGCCGGGCACUGCAGGGGACUUUCUGGACAAGAACAUGGGCGAUGCUCUCUUAAGAGGAAGAGAAAGUUGCUUUGAAGGAGAAUUGCCGCAAACUGGAAACUACUGCAUUGGACUUCUUCAACAAGUAUGAAUGGAAUUUCAGAAAUAGACUACAAGCAUAGCGUGUAUAGUCUAAAUGGGUUUCUAAGCUUCAUCUCAAAGGAGUUUUCUGGUGACUGGUUGCCGUAGAUUGCCAGCAGAGGAUCUUCAGCAAGUCCAGCUUGAAACUCAUGAAUCCUUUCAAGAACUAGCUUCCUUGGUCCUUUUGUUUCUCUUGUCUAGAACUUGUGUUGUGUUUGAGGUGUGGGUAGUUUGAGAGUUAUGCAAGACAGGAGCAGCCUAAAAGAAUUGCCGAAGGUUGUCAUCAGGAUGAGCUUCAGCAAGUCCGACUGGAAGCUUAGAAAUAGAUUCAAGAGCUUGCUUCUUUGGUCAGUUUGAUUCUUUGUGUUUAGAACUCGUGUUGAGUUUGAGGUGUGGAAAGUCUGAGUACUGCAAGUUGUAAUUUGCAGCUGUACGCUUUCAAAAUCUGAUUGCGGAGGCUGGAACAUUUUCCUUAAUCUAAAAAAAUUAAGAGCAAGUUAGACUUUCA